Callithrix jacchus (white-tufted-ear marmoset) is the source of this 3478-nucleotide non-coding RNA. Lineage: Eukaryota; Metazoa; Chordata; Mammalia; Primates; Cebidae. The record is from RefSeq and is a predicted model, not a curated record.
CAUGAAGGGAUGCUGAAUUUUAUCAAAUGCUUUUUGGGCAUCUAUUCAGAAAAUUAUAUGGAUUUUGUUCUUUACUCUAUUGAUGUGCUAUAUAAUAUUUAUUGUUUUGUUUGCAUUUGUUGAAGCAUCCUUGUAUUUCUGGCAUAAAUUCCACUUGAUCAUGGUGUACUAUCUUUUUGAUGUGCUAUUGGAUUUUGUUUGCUCGUAUUUUAUUGAGGAUUUUGUGUUUUAUUCAUCAGAUAUAUUGGCCUUCUUUCUUUUACAAAAACCUAAAGCUAGGUUUUUUUUUUUUUUUGUGUGUUGUUUUCUGCCUUUAGUAUUCAUGUUAUGCUUUCCUGUAUCAUGAGUUAGAAAGAAUUCCCUGUGCUUUAAUUUUAUUAAAUAGUUUGGGAAGAAUUGGUGUUAAUUCUUUUUUAAAGGUUUGGUAGAAUUCAGCAGUGAACUAUUCAGUCCUGGAUUUUCUCUUCUUUCUUUAUUUUAAAAAAAUCUUUUAUUUUAUUUUAAUUUGUUUUUAGAGACAGGGUCUCACUCUGUUGCCUAGGCUGAGUGCAAAUAUUUUCUUACAUUCUGUAGGUUGUCUGUAGUAGUGCAAUCAUAGCUCACUGCAGCCUUGGCCUCCUGGGCUCAAGCAGUUCUCCCAUCUAGGCCUCCCAAGUAGCUGGGACUAAUGGUGUGCAUCACUAUGCCUGGCUAAUUUUUAAAUUUGUGGUAGAGAUGAGAUCUUACAAGUUUGCCCAGGCUGGUCUCAAACUCCCGGUCUCAAGUGAUCUCUUGUCACUGAGAUUACAGGUGUGAGCCAACACACUUGGCCUGUAUGUUGAUCUUGUACCUAGCAAUGUUGCUAAACGCACUUAUUGGGUUUGGUGCCUUAAUUAAGGGUAGAUUCCAUCUGAUUUUCUAAAUAAAUGAUAAUGUCAUCUGUGAAGACAGACAGUUUUACUUUUUCCCAAUUUGGACAACUUCUAUUUCCUUUUCUUAUAUUAUAGCAAUGGUUGGAUCUUUCUGUAAAAUGUUAGAAGUGAUGAGAGUGAACAUUCUUUUUUUAGGUCUUAGGAGGAAACUAUCCUAUUUAAUCUUUCACCGCAAAAUAUGAUGUUAGCUUUAGGUUUUUGUAAAUGUUCUUUAUCAAAUCAAGAAGUUCCCUUCUAUGCCUAGUUUGCUGAGAAUUAUUUUGGGAUUGAUUUUGGAAUAGUCAAAUGCUUUUUCCAUGUUUAGUUAGAUGAUCAUAUGUACUUCUUUUUGGGCUUGUUGAUAUAGUGAUUUGAUUAAGUUAAACAUGAAAUCUUACUUUGUCAUGAUGUAUUAUCAUUUUUAUACAUUGUUGGAUUUAAUUUGCUAAAGGUUUUGCAUUUAAAUUCAUGAGGGAUAUUGGCAUAUAUUCUUAGUCAAUUUAUAAGGCUUUUAUAUUGCAGCACUGUUUUCAAUAGCAAAGACCUGGAACCAACCCAAAUGCCCAUCGAUAAUAGACUGGACAGGGAAAAUGUGGCACAUAUACACCAUGGAAUAUUAUGUAGCCAUCAAAAAUGAUGAAUUUGUGUCCCUUAUAGGGACAUGGAUGAACCUGGAAACCAUCAUUCUCAGCAAACUGACACAAGAACAGAAAAUCAACACUGCAUAUUCUCACUCAUAGGUGGAAAGACCAAGAAAGGAUAAAAUGUACCAAAGUUUGUUCAAUCCAGCCAGUCCCCAGCAAAGUCCUGAAAGAAUGAAUUCAUUUUCUGACUUUUUUAGCUACUACUGGCUGCCUGUAUUCCUUGGCUUCCUACAUCUUCAACGUGCAUCACUCCAAUUUUGCUUCCAUCAUCGAAUUGCCUUUUCUGACUCAGAUGCCUCUUCUUAAAGGGAAACUUGUGAUCACACUGAGUGCAUCUGAAUAAUCCAGGGUAAGUUCCCUGUUUCAAGAUCCUUAACUUAGUCAAAUCUCAAAAGUCCCUUUUGCCAUUUAAGGUAAAAUUCACAGGUUCCAGGGAUUAGAACAUUGGGAUCAGGAUCAUUAUGCAGCCUUCUACACAUACAUUAUUUUAUACUCAUAUCAGGAGGAGGUAGGCUGGCUCCACUUUAAGAUGUACAGCUGUAGUCUUCAGAAGUCAAGUGACUCAUUGGCAGUGUUACUAGUUACAGUGCAGAGCUAGUAAGUCUUUAUUUUGCUUUUUGUAAAUUCAGGAAGACUUGAUUGAAAUGUUUGGUUAAUAAUGACAUUUAUUUUGCAAUAGUUUACAGUUUACAAAAGAGCUGGCACCAAAUGAUCUUGUUUUGUUAGGAUAAUCUUAUGAGUUAGAGUUUAUUUAUAAAAUUUAAGCCAUUUUUCCAAUGUCUUUAAUGAGCCUCUACAAUAAGCCAAGCCCUGUGUUAGGUGAUAGGGAUACUCUAGUGACUGAUACAGGCAAGAUCCUAUCAUGAUGUGGUUUAUAUUCUACUAAGGUAGAUGGACAAAACCAUAAUAAAUUGAAUAAUUGCAAAUUGUAAUUAAAUGCUGCAAGAUAACAGAUGAAGAAAUGGAAGACAAGAGUGAUGAAGGGACUCUCACAAUGUCACACAAUAGUAAAUGGAAGAACUAAGUCUUGAAUUUAAAGUUUUGAAAACUUUUGUUUUGUGACUGUAGGGUAUACAUAUGGUAUUCCCUGCAUACUCAGCAAUUUUUUUGUUACUAAUUUUCCCUAGGAUGUAAUAUCAUCUGUUCAGUGAGGACCAUUUUUUUCUCAUGGCUCAUGAUUAUGUUAUAACUUAACACAAUUUUAUCCUCUGUAAGUUCUAAGGUCAGAGGAUAAAAUUUAUGUUAAUAGGCAUCAAUGUACAAUUGUCUCUCCUUAUUUGCAGGUAUUGGUUCCAGGUUCACCUGUGCGUACUAAAAUCAAUGCAUAAUCAAAUCUUAGAGUUGGUCCUGAAACAUCUGAGGAUAGAAAAAGUCAGCUUUUCUUAUAUAGAUAUUUGCAUCCUGAGAAUACUAUAUUUUCAAUCUGGUUUUUGUUUGAGUGUGGUGUGGAGAGCCAACUGUACUUAUUGAAAAAACAUUUGCAUAUAACUGGAUUCAUACAGUUCAAAUCUCUGCUGUUUAAGGAUCAACUGUGGUUGGUUUCCUUGUGACAACUGUCCUGCUAGGGCAUCACGCUCUUGUGUUUAAUACUAAGCAGACUUGGUGAGUGUCAGAGUAAGUCUUUAUUUUUAUUUUUAGAACCAUGCACUCAAUAGUGUCUACCUGUCAAGAAGAUCCACAGCUAAAUUACUAACAUAGUGCUCAUGUAAGCAAAUUUUUAUGAAUUGUGCUUUCAGGAUGAUUUAUUGCAGCUUUAUAGCUUUUGCUGUGACAUAUUUUAUCUACAUUUAAAAUUUUGUUUAAAAUAAUAACAAGCUGGAAUGCAAUUUUAGUAACAGUUGCAUUUGGCCAAUAAGACAAUUUUUAGUAAGUAGUCAGUACGCAUGCAUUCACCUAGUUAUUUUUUAAGUAUUGCUUUCUAAUUGACACAUAAUAAUUGUACAU